RNAcentral lists this unclassified non-coding RNA (121 nucleotides) under Arabidopsis thaliana (thale cress). RNAcentral's name for it is "partial MIR166c microRNA precursor". Lineage: Eukaryota; Viridiplantae; Streptophyta; Magnoliopsida; Brassicales; Brassicaceae. The record is from RNAcentral.
ACAUACCUUUCUUUCUCUUCUUCUUCUUACGAAAAGUUUCAUCACAUUCACAUUAUCUUUAACUUUGGUCUCUUUUCUUUUUUGUCUCUUUUCUCUUCUUGAUAACGUGGUUCUAGUCUUG